RNAcentral lists this long non-coding RNA (1965 nucleotides) under Medicago truncatula (barrel medic). RNAcentral describes it as "long non-coding RNA (MTRU_LNC004412)". Lineage: Eukaryota; Viridiplantae; Streptophyta; Magnoliopsida; Fabales; Fabaceae. The record is from RNAcentral.
UGAGAUAACAUAUAGAAAAGAUUGGAAGCCAACAUAAUAUUGCUUCCUAAGUAAAGAUCGUACCUCUAACCAUUUUUCCUAUAUUCUUUUCUCUCUCUGUCCCGUAUCUUCCACUUCUCUGUUUCCAUCCUUCCUUUCCUUUUCGGUUUUUUUUUUCUUCUUUUCCUCGCAUCAUCAAUUUUCAACCCCAAUUCAAACAUCACAAGAAUGAUAAUACAUCUAGGUAAAACUAUCGCAUAAAACAAAUGAUUUUGGGUAGCAUUUUGAGUUAGAGUUUGUGCUCUAAGAAAGGAGAAGAAUACCCAUACAUGGAAGGUGUGCUCUUUGGUGAUCCUUGAGAUUCGAUGGAAAUUGCUUUGGUGUUCAUUCCGGGAGGCAUUGCUAGGAAUGAAAUUGAUUAGCCAUAGUUGUGAGUUGAUGACGAUCCUUAUUUUAAUUAUCGUUAUUAUUGAUAUUUUGGUAAUUUUAUAAGUUAAAGUAUUUACCAAAAUGGGAAGCACACCCUUUGUUGUUGAAAUUUAUGUUUAAGGUCAUGAAUAUUGAUAUGGUCUCUAUUUGAACUUGUCUAUGAUUUAUAGAGCAAAGGUUUUAUAAUUGAGAUAUGGUUGCAUUUACUACUGACAUAAGUUUUGAGAUGUUGACAAAAAAAUGGUUUUUGAGAAAUAUGUUUUUGUUUUGAAAAUUAUUAUGAUACUAUUAUACACUCCAUUUGGAUUGGGUGUUGGAUUUACCUAUGAUUUAUGGUUUAUAAAGUAGUGAAUUUAAGAAUUGAAAUUUGAUUUCAUGUAUAUUGGCACUAGUUUUCAUACGUUGUAAAGCAUAGUUUGAAAUAUGUGUUUUUGAAAGGAUUUGAUAUAUAUGUACGCGAUUUGAAUUUGGAUUUACUUAUGAUGAUAACUAGUAGGUUUUCGAUUGAGUUCUGAUGAAAGUAUUUUGAUAUAAGUUUCGUUAUUUUGCGAAAUAUGGUUUUAGACAUGUGCUUUAAGAUUGGGGUUUUGAAAAUUACGGUUAUAAUUAAUGACGACGACCUAGGUGCACCUAGUAUGUGAUUUCGGUUAGGUAGAGUUACUCCAUUAGACGGAGCCGCCCCUAUGGAAAGGCCAGUACCAUUAGGAGGAGAGGGCUAUCAAUGAGAUGUAAACUCCCUAAUUGAAAAUGUUUUACAAUUUAUUUUGAGUCGGGAGAAAAGAGCUAUCUAUUAGAUGGAGCUACGACUAAGAGAAAGACCACUCAUAGGAAAUUUCCAUCAACGAUAUGGAGCUAGUUCUCGAUUCAUCCAUUUUGAUUAUUUUCACUAAAGUUGGAUUUUUAUACUUUCUCUGAAGUUGAUUAUUUUGGAUUCAUUUCAUUAAAUCCGAUUGUUAUAGUCUAUUUGGAUUUGAUUAUUUGGAUUCCUUUUCAUUAUACAUGAUUUCUAUAUUUCCUUUAAAGUUGUUGAUUUGGAUUCACCUCUUACGAAAUUGAUAUUUUGAUAUAGUAUUAUUUGAUUUGAUAAAUUUACAAAAUUUUCUGAAUUUUCAUGGUAUACUCUUGAUUGUGAAUUUAUUAUAUUUUUAAAACGAUUACAAGCUUUGUAAAUUAAAAUCAGAUUUGAGAAAAUAAAAUAAUUGUGCUCUCGUGUGUUUCCUUUCUAGUUGGUGGUGGUUGUUGUCUCUCACUAAGUCCUUGUGACUUACUAUUUUAUUUUCUAUUUUUAUUCCAGAUUCCCAAGCAACUAAGUAGGAAGCUGCUAGUAGAUUCGAAGUUCAGUGGUGUCACUUUUUUGGUGGGCUACCUUGAUGAAUGUCUCCAUUGUUUAUGUACAUGUUGAGUCAAAGUAUCUGCAGCUAUUUGAAGUUUAGAAAUGUCUCAUUUUGAGUUGUGCAAAUAUGUAAAAAUGUCACUUUGAAAUUCUGGUUGAUGAUAAUAGUUUAUGAACAGGAUUUAGAUCUUCGUAAUGUUGAAAAUAUAGGGGUUGCUCUGUCG